RNAcentral lists this ribosomal RNA (497 nucleotides) under uncultured bacterium. Its description in RNAcentral is "partial 16S ribosomal RNA". It matches the Rfam family "Bacterial small subunit ribosomal RNA", at positions 28 to 507 of the family's 1533-position model. The record is from RNAcentral.
GAUGAACGCUGGCGGCGUGCCUAAUACAUGCAAGUCGAGCGAACAGACGAGGAGCUUGCUCCUCUGACGUUAGCGGCGGACGGGUGAGUAACACGUGGAUAACCUACCUAUAAGACUGGGAUAACUUCGGGAAACCGGAGCUAAUACCGGAUAAUAUAUUGAACCGCAUGGUUCAAUAGUGAAAGACGGUUUUGCUGUCACUUAUAGAUGGAUCCGCGCCGCAUUAGCUAGUUGGUAAGGUAACGGCUUACCCGGGCAACGAUCCGUAGCCGACCUGAGAGGGUGAUCGGCCACACUGGAACUGAGACACGGUCCAGACUCCUACGGGAGGCAGCAGUAGGGAAUCUUCCGCAAAGGGCGAAAGCCUGACGGAGCAACGCCGCGUGAGUGAUGAAGGUCUUCGGAUCGUAAAACUCUGUUAUUAGGGAAGAACAAAUGUGUAAGUAACUAUGCACGUCUUGACGGUACCUAAUCAGAAAGCCACGGCUAACUACGUG